AAAAAGCUCGUAGUUGGAUUUCUGUUGAGGACGACCGGUCCGUACCAUGUACGCGCAUCUGGUUCGGCCUCGGCAUCCUCACGAUAGACGUUUCUGCGCUUGAUUGCGUGGAGCGGAUUUCGGGACUUUUACUUUGAGGAAAUUAGAGUGUUCACGGCAGGCUAUCGCCAGAAUACAUUAGCAUGGAAUAAUAUUAUAGGAUCUCAGUUCUAUUUUGUUGGUUUCUAGACCUGGGGUAUGAUUAAUAGGGACAAUUGGGGGCAUUUGUAUCAACACGUCAGAGGUGGAAUUCUUGGAUUGUGUUGCGACAAACUACUGCGAAAGCAUUUGCCAAGGAUGUUUUCAUUGAUCAAGAACGAAAGUAAGGGGAUCGAAGACGAUUAGAUACCGUCGUAGUCUUUACCAUAAACUAUGCCGACUAAGAGAUGGGGCAUCGUUCACUUACGACUUGCUCCGCAUCUUAUGAGAUAUCAAAAGUCUUUGGGUUCCGGGGGGAGUAUGGUCGCAAGGCUGAAACUUAAAGGAAUUGACGGAAGGGCACCACCAAGGUGUGGAGCCUGCGGCCUUAAUUUUGACUC
RNAcentral lists this ribosomal RNA (578 nucleotides) under uncultured marine eukaryote. Its description in RNAcentral is "SSU rRNA". It matches the Rfam family "Eukaryotic small subunit ribosomal RNA", at positions 621 to 1201 of the family's 1831-position model. The record is from RNAcentral.